AGCAGCCGCGGUAAUUCCAGCUCCAAUAGCGUAUAUUAAAGUUGUUGCAGUUAAAAAGCUCGUAGUUGAAUUUUGGAUUCUGCCAAUUGGUCCAUCUUUUAGAUGAGUACUGGUUGUGUGGGGUCUAUCCGCCUGGUGAUACGUAAUGUCCUUUAUUGGAUGUUUCGGGUAGUCAGGACCUUUACCUUGAAAAAAUUAGAGUGUUUAAAGCAGGCUUAUGCCGGAAUACAUUAGCAUGGAAUAAUAGAAUAGGACGAAGUUGUUUUAUUUUGUUGGUUUCUAGGACAACCGUAAUGAUUAAUAGGGAUAGUUGGGGGCAUUAGUAUUCAAUUGUCAGAGGUGAAAUUCUUGGAUUUAUUGAAGACUAACUACUGCGAAAGCAUUUGCCAAGGAUGUUUUCAUUAAUCAAGAACGAAAGUUAGGGGAUCGAGGACGAUCAGAUACCGUCGUAGUCUUAAACCAUAAACUAUGCCGACUAGGGAUCGGGCGAUGUUGUUUCCAUGACUCGCUCGGCACCUUA
RNAcentral lists this ribosomal RNA (520 nucleotides) under uncultured Archaeospora. RNAcentral describes it as "SSU rRNA". It matches the Rfam family "Eukaryotic small subunit ribosomal RNA", at positions 569 to 1090 of the family's 1831-position model. Lineage: Eukaryota; Fungi; Glomeromycota; Glomeromycetes; Archaeosporales; Archaeosporaceae. The record is from RNAcentral.